GCCACAUAAAGGUUUCCGAAACCUAGGUCUCUGCGUGCAAAGCCAUUGCUGUCUGGGAUCACUGCUGUUCGGGGAAUUUGCUGACCGGGGUCACUGAUGUCAAUAGGUCCCUGUUGUUCUGAGUUACUGCUGCCUGGGUCGGGGUGGGGGAGGUGGUGCUGCCUGUGGUAUGGUCACCGCUGUCCAAGAUCACUGCUCCUAAGAGUCAUCGCAUCUAGGAAUCACUUCCAUCUGAGGUCACUAGAGAGGUCAGUGCUGGCCAGGGUCAUUAUCAUUUUGAGGUCAUUAUUGUCAGGCCCCUGGAAGGGUCCCUGCUGGUUCAGUGUCUAGAGGUCCCUGGACAGAGUAGGCCAG
Molecule: long non-coding RNA, 354 nt
Filed under: Homo sapiens (human)
Lineage: Eukaryota; Metazoa; Chordata; Mammalia; Primates; Hominidae
Description: HSALNT0003739
Source: RNAcentral